AUUUAAGGUUUGACCUGCCCACUGAAAUUAUUUGAAGGGCCGCAGUAAUUUGACUGUGCAAAGGUAGCAUAAUCAUUAGUUUUUUAAUUAAAAGCUUGUAUGAAGGGUUGGACGAGGUAAAUUCUGUCUCUAUUUAAUUUAAUAUAGAAUUUAAUUUUUAAGUUAAAAAGCUUAAAUUUUUUUAAAAGACGAGAAGACCCUAUAGAUCUUUAUAAUAUAAAUAUUAAUUUUAAUUAAGAAUAUUUUAUUUUUUAUUAUUUGUAUUAUUUUAUUGGGGUAAUAGGAAGAUUAAUUAAAUUCUUUUUUUUAUUUUUACAUUAAUAAAUGAUUAUAUGAUCCAAUUUUAUUGAUUAAAAGAUUAAGUUACCUUAGGGAUAACAGCGUAAUUUUUUUAGAGAGUUCAUAUCGAUAAAAAAGUUUGCGACCUCGAUGUUGGAUUAAAAAUUAUCUUAGGUGCAGAAGUUUAAGAUUUUGGUCUGUUCGACCAUUAAAUUUUU
This 497-nucleotide ribosomal RNA is filed under the name Agabus caraboides. RNAcentral describes it as "partial 16S ribosomal RNA". It matches the Rfam family "Bacterial large subunit ribosomal RNA", at positions 1845 to 2597 of the family's 2925-position model. Lineage: Eukaryota; Metazoa; Arthropoda; Insecta; Coleoptera; Dytiscidae. The record is from RNAcentral.